CCAAAGACUCUUUUCAGAGCCACUCACGUUUUCUGAGAAAGCUUAG
Non-coding RNA from Ailuropoda melanoleuca (giant panda), 46 nucleotides. NCBI's taxonomy places the organism in Eukaryota, Metazoa, Chordata, Mammalia, Carnivora, Ursidae. The record is from Rfam.